RNAcentral lists this long non-coding RNA (4220 nucleotides) under Homo sapiens (human). RNAcentral describes it as "HSALNT0295409". Lineage: Eukaryota; Metazoa; Chordata; Mammalia; Primates; Hominidae. The record is from RNAcentral.
GCCAGGGCACCCAAGGCCACAGAAAUGCCCAGGGAUGAGUCCUGGCUGGAGAUGCCUUGGCCGAGCUGACUGUGCACUUCCAGGGCUCACAGGGGUCUGGCCAGGAGACUGAGCAAGGGGACCAGGGAGGUUGUGUAGCAGGCUUCUGCACAGCAAGGCAGACAUUCUUCUUGGAGCCCCCAACCCAAAUCAGGUCUUCCACCUCCUCUUCCUAAAGACCCUUUACUGCUGUCGUUCCUUUACUGAACUACAAGUUUAGAGGACAUGGAUUUCAGUGCCCUCAUCUGGCCAACCAUCUUCAGCUGCCAAUGGACAAGUGUCUUCCUGGUACUGCACAUGAAGAUGUCCCGCUCUCCCCUGCUCAAGGAGAGAGUGCCUGACCUGAGCUGGGCCCAUCAGAUCCAGUACUUACCUGGAAUAGGAAAAAGAUGGGGAGAGUGACCAAAGACUACAAAAAUCUCUGAAGCUUAUCUACUUGAGAGAGAGUCCCUGAAGAUACUGGCCUCUCAUUCCUGCUAUGUAUAUCCAAUGUGACUGAACUCUGAAUAAAAUAUACAAGUUAUAACAAUGUAGCAAUUGACCCAGCAAACGAGGACACAAACGUGUUGAAGGGAUUUGAGUUUGAUGUCUUGCAUACAAUGUGAUCCCACUGUAUGACUACACAAAUGUUGGCAAAAGUAAGUUCAGAGGAAAUGGUAGGCAAGUACUUCCCAGUUUUGACCAGAAGAUGGAGAAAAAAGAAUUCUCAAAAAAUAUUAAAAGUGUCUACGGAGAAAUAGACAAGCGAUGCACGACAGAUACAUGUGUCAGUCUGGUCCCUGCAGUUGUAUUUGUAAUAAUACACAUUGGAGCAAUUUCAUGGCCAUCGGUUAGAGAAUGUUUGAGGAAUGAUCCUUUCAUAUCAAGAAGGACAUUUCAAAGAUCAAAACCUGAUGGAAAUGCUGGAGACCAUGGCGCUGAUAGGAGCUCAUGCGUGUUGUCCAAUUACUACGUGACAGGCAUUGGCUCCAUGCUUUUCCUGCACUGCUCAUUUAAACACUGGACAACCUAAGUGUUCUGAUUUAGCCCAUUGGACAGAUAGAAAUGGAGGCACAGAAGAUUAAUGUGUUUAACUUCAAACCCUGGCAGAUUAGGUUUUUCAUCCAGAGCCUGUGGCUUCACCAUAGCUGUGAUUCACGUUCUGUCAUUCUCCUCUUUAGGAAUUUCCAGUAUUCCAAAUAUGAGAAGCUGAGAAAACAAACAACAAACUCAAAACCCUAAAAACCAGGAUACGUAAGGGUAGAUGUUUGUUGGGUGUGGAUUAAAAAUGGACUUUUUUUGCCCCAAGCAACAAAGAGGCACCUUAGAAAAUAGACAAGAGACAAGAAGAAGAGAAGCUUUAAGAGAUAUUUGGUCCAAGGAAGAGACUCUUCAGAUGGAAGGUCACGUCAGCUAGAAACAUUAAUAUGACUGGAUGGGCUCAAACCACUGACUUUUCAGUCAACAUCCGACAGCACUAACCUAGUGUUCCAGAGACACUGCUUGUUAAACAGUGAAAGCUGUUGCUCAAUUGUGUCAUCCGUAAUUGUCAAAUAUUGCCAUUUAGUAGCACAAGGAAGUAUUCUCCGUUGCCAAGCUAGAGCACCCAUAACUCUUCUGUUUUGUUGAACAUUCUUCCCCACCACAAACCCUCUUUAGAAGACUGGGGGCUCCUAAAGCAUUGAGGCCGAGAGUCCCAUCCUUGUGCAUGUUUGGGCAUUGAUCCAUGGCCAAGUCAGUGGGAGACUCCUCCACCCCUACGCCAGGUCCCCAGGUGACAACUGCAGUCUCUGGAUCUGAAGUCAUCCACUUUCCCAUUCCUAGCUCACCUCACCCAUCGUGAAGCCUGAUUAGUAUUGCCAGAGACCCGAGUGGGCAGAUGCCCACACCAAAGACAGAACCUGCUGUGUGCCCACCUUGCUGAUCCCUCCAUCCUUCUAGACAAAGGCUUCAUAAGCCAAGGACCUUGGGUUUGCUCACAAGGCAGCCCCUCACCUAGUAGGCAUUAGUUCAUUAUGUAUAUGUAUAUGUAGUCCUCAGGUUGUAUUCCUUAAAUAUAUAUAAUUUAAGGAUAUGUAUUAUAUAUAUAUAUAAAUAUAUAUGUAAUUCCUUAAAUAUAUAAUUUUAAUACAAUUUUUUUUUUGAGACGGAGUCUCACUCUGUCUCCCAGGCUGGAGUGCAGUGGCACCAUCUUGGCUCACUGCAAGCUCCACCUCCCAGGUUCACGCCAUUCUCCUGCCUCAGCCUCCCAAGUAUCUGGGACUACAGGCGCCCGCCACCACGCCAGGCUAAUUUUUUUUUUUUGUAUUUUUAGUAGAGAUGGGGUUUCACCAUGUUAGCCAGGAUGGUCUCGAUCUUCUAACCUCAUGAUCCACCCACCUCGGCCUCCCAAAGUGGUAGGAUUACAGGCAUGGACCACCGCGCCUGGCCAAAACAAAGUUUUUAAAAGAUUCCUUUAAUAAACAUUUACAAUAGCAUCAAGAAAUAUAAACGACAUAGCAAAUAUGUGAAAGCCAGCCAGACUCUCAAUGGCAUCCAGAAAUAUAAACUACAUAGAAAAGACAUGAAAGCCAGCCAGGCUUGGCCUCAAAUCCCAGCACUUUGGAAGGCUGUGGCAGGAGGGUUGCUUGAUCUCAUAAGCUUGAAACUAGCCUAGGCAACAUAGUGAGCCCUCAUCUCUACUGAAAAUCAGAAAAAUUAUCCGGGUUUGGUGGUGUGAGCCUGUAGUCCCAGGAAUCAGUGGAUGAGGCCCUAGGAUGUCAUAGGCCUGAGAAUUCCAUGCUGCAGUGAGCUGUGAUUGUGCCACUGUACUCCAGCCUGGGUGAAAGAGUGAGAUCCUGUGCAGAAACAAAAGAAGAAAAAAAGAGAUGUGAAAGCCUAUAUAUUGAAGACUACCAAGUACUGCUUAGAGCAGUUAAAGACCUUUGGAAUAGAAAAUGUUUCUUCUUGCAUUUCAAGAUUGCUUUUGUUUUGGGGGGACACACUAUUUUUUAGGAAUAUGAAGUUCUUGUUAGGCAUUCCUGUAAAAAAGGCCACUUUUUGAUAGGAUUGUAUUGAAUCUGUGGGUUGCUUUGAGUUGUAUUUUUAUCUUAACCAUGUUACAACUUCCAACCCAUGGACACAAGAUGUCUGUCCAUUGAUUUAGGUCUUCCUGAAUCUCCUCGAGCAAUGUUCUGUAGUUGUCUGUGUACAAGUACUGCACCUUCUUGAACAAAUUUAUUCCCAGGCAUAUUAUUCUUACCAGUGCUAUUAUAAAUGAAAUCAUUGUGUCAAUUUUCUUCUCAGAUUGUUCAUUGCUAACACAACUGAUUGUUUGCUGAAAGUUUGCUGAAUUCGCUUAUUAACUCUAGUAGUGUGUGUAUGUGAGUGUGUGUGUGUGUGUGUGUGUGUGACUGGCCUCUGUGUGCAUGUAUGUGUGUUUGCAUCUGUAGGUAUUAUUUGGGAUUUUCUAUGCAUAGGAUCACACCAUCUGCAAAUUGAGAUCAUUUUGUUUUCUGUUCAAAAACACUUUUUCUCAUGUUUAUUUUUAAAAGAUAAUUUGGCCAGGUGUAGAAUUGUAGGUGACAGUUUUUCUUUUUUUUAAGUUCUUUAUUGCAAACUUCUUGUUUGUAUGAGAAAUCUUAUGCCAUCAUUAUAUUUAGUGCUCUGUAUGUAACAUGUUCUUUCCCUUUUUAUUCCUUUUAGGAUUUCCUUUUUAUCACUGGUUUUGAUGGAUUUGAUUAAGGCGUUCCUUGGUGAAGUUUUCUUCAUGUUUCUUGUUCUUAGAAUAAUCAUAUUUCUGUAAUAUUUGAAGUUUAUGGUUUCCAUGGAGCUUCUAAAUCUUUCAUCCAGUAUGUUUUAAAUAUCUUUGUCUCUCUUCUCCACUACACGCCCUUCAGGGAUUCCAUUUAGCCCUAUACUGGGGGGUUUAAAGUUUUGAUGCCGAUGGUCUUUUUAUGUUUUCAAGUCAUUUGUUACUGUGUGUUUCAUUUAUGUUAGUUUCAAAUUCUAUUCCUUCUAGUUCAAUAAUCUUCUCUUCUGCAAUGUUUAAUCCACUGCCUUCUUCCAUUUCAGACUGUAAAUCAUACUUUUUAUUUACAGAAUUUGAUAUUUAAAAAAUCUUCAACCUCCCUAUUUAAUUAAAAUACAAUUAUACUAACUGCUCUAAUGUCCUUUUCUUCUAUUUCCAACAUGUCUGUCAAUUUCAACUAGAUUAUUAGAUU